GCCGGCGUAGCUCAGUGGCAGAGCGGACGUUUCAUAAGCGUUAGGUCGCUGGGUUCGAAUCCCGCCGCCGGCACAA
Molecule: transfer RNA, 76 nt
Filed under: Parcubacteria group bacterium CG08_land_8_20_14_0_20_38_56
Lineage: Bacteria
Also listed under: 1 other name
Description: tRNA-Met
Rfam family: tRNA
About the family: Transfer RNA (tRNA) molecules are approximately 80 nucleotides in length. Their secondary structure includes four short double-helical elements and three loops (D, anti-codon, and T loops).
Source: RNAcentral